CGCGAAAUUGAGAGAUACAGAUGUGAAAUCCUAAUUUCUUUUAUGAUGAGGUGAAAAUUGAUGUUUGCUGCUGAAUCAUAAUAUGAAUAAGUUAUUGGAUUUUGGAAGGAAAGCCCUUUUCUAUGUGAGGGUUCUUUCUGGGUAUGAGGAGCGUAGAAUCCGAAAUUAUAGAUUACAGCUCGAGAGGCGUCUCCAACAGGCACAAGAAAGAAAGGCAGCUUUGAGAAAGAUCCCUGAGCAGGCUAUAUUAUCAGA
This 255-nucleotide unclassified non-coding RNA is filed under the name Hevea brasiliensis (rubber tree). The record is from RNAcentral. Lineage: Eukaryota; Viridiplantae; Streptophyta; Magnoliopsida; Malpighiales; Euphorbiaceae.